AACGAACGCUGGCGGCAUGCCUAACACAUGCAAGUCGAACGAAGGCUUCGGCCUUAGUGGCGCACGGGUGCGUAACGCGUGGGAAUCUGCCCUUUGGUUCGGAAUAACAGCUGGAAACGGCUGCUAAUACCGGAUGAUGACGAAAGUCCAAAGAUUUAUCGCCAGAGGAUGAGCCCGCGUUGGAUUAGGUAGUUGGUGGGGUAAAGGCCUACCAAGCCGACGAUCCAUAGCUGGUCUGAGAGAAUGAUCAGCCACACUGGGACUGAGACACGGCCCAGACUCCUACGGGAGGCAGCAGUGGGUAAUAUUGGACAAUGGGCGCAAGCCUGAUCCAGCAAUGCCGCGUGAGUGAUGAAGGCACUAGGGUUGUAAAGCGCUUUUAACCGUGAAGAUAAUGACUGUACCGGGAGAAAAAGCCCCGGCUAACUCCGUG
RNAcentral lists this ribosomal RNA (433 nucleotides) under uncultured bacterium. RNAcentral describes it as "partial 16S ribosomal RNA". It matches the Rfam family "Bacterial small subunit ribosomal RNA", at positions 29 to 507 of the family's 1533-position model. The record is from RNAcentral.